This 62-nucleotide transfer RNA is filed under the name Colpocephalum griffoneae. Its description in RNAcentral is "tRNA-Leu". It matches the Rfam family "tRNA". From Rfam's summary of the family: Transfer RNA (tRNA) molecules are approximately 80 nucleotides in length. Their secondary structure includes four short double-helical elements and three loops (D, anti-codon, and T loops). Lineage: Eukaryota; Metazoa; Arthropoda; Insecta; Psocodea; Menoponidae. The record is from RNAcentral.
AGUAAGUUAGCAUAAUAGUGCAUUGAACUUAGAAUUCAAAGACGGGCUUUCCCCACUUAUUA